GCUCCAAUAGGAUAUAUCAAAGUUGUUGCAGUUGAAAAGCUCGUAGUCGUAUUUCUGGUGGGUUGAUGUUGGGCAUGAUGGUGAAAGCCGUUGUGCGCCAGGGCCGCCUGCCAUUUUGUGGGCUCAAGUGGCCUUGUCCUGGUUAACUCCUGGACUUGGUCGCUCCACUCCGUCACUGAGAGCAAAUUGGAGUGCUCAAA
This 200-nucleotide ribosomal RNA is filed under the name uncultured eukaryote. RNAcentral's name for it is "partial 18S ribosomal RNA". It matches the Rfam family "Eukaryotic small subunit ribosomal RNA", at positions 590 to 790 of the family's 1831-position model. The record is from RNAcentral.